GGGGAGCACAGGGGGGCAGUGAGCUGCAGAGGCCACAGAGCAGUGUUUAAUAGCGCUGGGGGGAGAGGAAGGAAGAAGGGGAAGGUGGCUGGGUUGCGUUGGUGGGAUCCUGUCACGGAGAGGGCAGCAGAAGAGGAACAGGAGGGGAGCUGGGGAAGUGCUGGAGGCCGCGGUGCUUGGGCGCUGGGGCCAUGGCUGACGGCAGCGAGGACCCGGCCGUGUUCUCCUCCUCCUCCUUGCCCGCGGACCCGCGGCUCCUGGCCACGGUCACCAACGCUUACCUGGGCACGCGCGUGUACCGCGAGGCCCUGCACGUGAGCGGCGUGUACAGCGGUGCCGCGGGCGAUGCGCACCGCGCCGACGUGCCCAGCCCCGCCAACGUGCGCAUGGCGGUGCCCGGCGAGGGCGGCCUGGAUGAGACCUUCACCCUGGACACCCGCACGGGAACCUUCAGCCAUGAGCUUCGGUCAACGGAUUACGUGGCCACCCAGCAGAUCUACGCUCACUAUUCCCUUGUCCACUUGCUGGUCGUCAGCAUCACCAUCCGGCGGUCGGCUCACACCACCCAACCCAUCACCAUCCAGCUCCAGUCUCCUUUUGAGCCGAAGAGCCAGGAUUUGGACCUGAAACAGGGACCCGACUUCCAGGGAGCACACUACGUCUACGGGAGGACGCUGGUCCCCGAGGUGCAGGGGGGGCCCCGUCCCGCCGUUCACAUGCUCUGGACGCCGGUGCCCGGGGCGCUGACGCUGCGCGGGGAGGAGCGGGAGCGGUGCUGGCAGUUCCUGACGGCCGUGGCCGGCAGCGAGGAGGGGGCCCAGGGCAGCUACCGGCGGGGCCUGGCCUGCGCGGCCGCGGGGUCCCUGCACCGGCGCCAUGCCCGCGCCUGGGCCGCCCUGUGGCGGGGCAGCAGCGUGGAGCUGGCCGGGCCCCUGCGGCUGCGGCGAGCCCUGCGCGGGAGCCUCUUCUACCUCCUGAGCUCCAUCGCCCCGCAGCCGGCGCUGCCCUCCCACGGCAUCAGCCCCGGCGGGGUGGCCAACGGUGCGCGCGGCGAGGACUACUGGGGCCACGUCUUCUGGGACCAGGAGACCUGGAUAUUCCCGAACAUCCUGCUGUUCUACCCCGAGGCUGCCCGAGCCAUGCUGGAAUACCGGAUCCGCACGCUGGAAGGAGCCCUGCGCAACGCACGGGAGCAAGGCUACGAGGGCGCUAAGUUCCCAUGGGAGAGCGCAGCCACCGGCCGGGAAGUCUGCCCUGAGGAGAUCUACGGAGCGCAGGAGAUCCACGUCACCGGGGACGUGCUGGUGGCCUUUGAGCAGUAUUACCACAGCACGCAGGACCAGAAGCUGUUCAGGGAGGAUGGUGGCUGGAGGCUGGUGCGUGCCGUGGCUCAGUACUGGUGCAGCAGGAUGGUGUGGAGCGAGGAGGAGCAGUGCUACCACAUCAGAGAUGUGAUGCCCCCGGAUGAGCACCACUGCCACGUUGACAACUCCGCUUACACCAACGCCGUGGCCCAGCGGAGCUUGACUUUUGCAGCCCGUCUGGCUCGAGACUUGUUGAUCCCAGUGCCCGAGCAGUGGCUGCGCCGCGCCAGCAGCAUCAAAGUGCCCUUUGACGCGGGGAAGGGAUACCAUCCCGAGUACGACGGCUACCGCCCGGGUGAGCCAGUGAAACAAGCGGACGUGGUCCUGCUCGGCUUCCCACUGAUGCACCCCAUGAGCCCUGAAGUCCGGAGGAAUGACCUGGAGAUGUACGAGCCCGUCACAGAGCUGCACGGCCCAGCCAUGACCUGGAGCAUGUUUGCCGUGGGCUGGCUGGAGCUGAAGGAGGUGCAGAGAGCCCAGGCCCUGCUCAACAAGUGCUUCAGCAACAUCACGGAGCCCUUCAAGAUCUGGGUGGAGAACUCGGACGGGUCAGGAGCCGUGAACUUCUUGACAGGGAUGGGUGGAUUCCUGCAGGCCAUCCUCUUCGGCUACACCGGCUUCAGGAUCACCAGGUCCAGCCUCCGCUUCGACCCGGCCUUUCCCGACGACAUCCACGAGCUGAACAUCACCGGCGUCUCCUACUUGGGCAACAAGCUCAGGUUCAGCAUCACCAGGGAAGAGAUGGGGAUCGAAGUGACCGAGAGCCCCCGGGCUCUGCCCCUGGAAGCGGUGCUGGAGGAGUCGGGGCAGCGGCUGCCCCUGCACGAAGGGCAGAGGGUCUCGCUCCCCACGGCUGCCGGAUGGAUCCAGAGAUCAUCCCCUGGCACCCCUUGAACCUCGGCUGCUCUGCGCCGGAGCAGGAGCAAGUUGAAGAGAGGAUGGCGGCAGAGGGGAGGGGGAAGAGGCACCCAGAGGCUUGUGAAGUGUGAGAUGUUUAAUCAGCAGCGCUGCCCGAGGCGGGGGUGCUGUGUGCGUGCACACAGGGUAAAGGCAGGUGAAACCGAG
Molecule: RNA transcript, 2429 nt
Organism: Pezoporus flaviventris
Lineage: Eukaryota; Metazoa; Chordata; Aves; Psittaciformes; Psittacidae
Gene: PGGHG
Gene name: protein-glucosylgalactosylhydroxylysine glucosidase
Exons: 15
Source: RefSeq, a predicted model, not a curated record